GCGUUGAUUCUGAAUUCAAUACUAUUAGAACAAUUUUUCUAGAAAACAAAUUCCUUUACAUAAAAUGAAUUACAUAGGGGGCUUUGCCCUUAUAUUCCCAGGCGAAGACACCGAUCCCUUUUCUUCGUAAAAGUCAAAUCUCGCAUGCUUCCAAUAGAUGCCUCCAUUUGCUCUUUUUUCUUGAUCUAGGCCACGACUUAUUACUCACUUAUCCUUGCAAUGCUUGUUAGCUCCUUUAAGAAAGUCAGGACAUGACGGCUCUCAAAUAAUCUUUAUCGGCUUGAAUCCUCGAGCAAUAAAACAAAGUCUUGUUUUCCUCCAUGAACUAUCAGCCUUCUCUCACUGUGUUUGCUUGGACCAUAUUCAGACAACAGUAUUAUAAUCCACUUUAUCAAGAAAUCCGUUUUCUCAUGACAAACUGUUCUAUUUAGAAAUCGAAUAUGAAUCAACACCUCUUUUCUAUGAUGAUGUAAUGCAAGGUGGACAUAAACAAAACAAAAACAAAACACGUUAGUACAGAAGAAAUAAAUAACAAAUAAAGUACCUAUUCGGGUGACCACUAAAUUUUGGCACGGUUAUACCUAAGGUGGACUCUCAAGGUUCAUUAUAUGUAGCCCGGUUCUAGAGAAAGGGUACUUGAACCAGCUGAUUCCUCAAUCCUCACCCAUUAUAGGCUCAUAUGGAUCGAGUUCAGUUCAGGGGGAUACAUUUCCCUAUGGCCAUGUAGAGAUGAAAAUCUCACGAAGACAUAGGUACAGAUGUAUCCCGGAAGUAAUCCACUAGUUCAUGCGGAGGUGAAAACCUCAUGAAGGCAUAGUUUCUCACUCCCACUUAAAAGGUGUGACCACAACGGUCAUGUAAUGCAGUGCAAUAGUCUACAAGACUCAAACCACAACAAUCAUACAAACAAAUGCAACAAAAAAUCAUGAUUUUCAAAUCAACGUUUCAAUUUUCGACAAAAGGAUAGAAAAUAAUCAAUUUCACGGCUUGACUCUCUUAUUGGUCCCCAGCGGAGUCGCCAAGCUGUCGAAACCAUUUUUUUAUAUUUUGAAAAACGAGGAUCGACUUUGAAACAAGGUAUGGAGUCGCCACCAAUCCUUUUUAUUCAGGUGUGAUUGGAUCAACUAAUAAAAUAUUUUAUUUUAUUAAAAUAUCAAAUUUAGCCUACGAAAUUUGAGAAAACGGGUUCGGUAGUCGGUUACAUACGAGGAAGGGUUAGCAUCCUCGUUACACCCAGAAUUGGUACCAAAUUGAUUAAAUAAUGUCCUUGUGUCUAAAAUUUAAAAAAAUUAUUUUGAAAUACAACUUCUUUUAAAACAUUUGAAUAACUCAAAUUGCACGUUAAAAUUCUCUUGUUUCGAAGGAAUACAAUAUCACAUCCAGCACGUUAGGACACGAUCCUUUAAACCCUUGAAACCACGAUCAAUUCUUGAUUUACAAAAACUCAUACAUUUGAAAAUUACAAAAGGAUAUCCGAUUAUUUGGUUCAACGAAAAAUCGAAACCCAACACGUAGGGCACGAUUUCUCGGAUUUCCAAACAUAGAAUAUUGCCUUGUUUUAAAAUUUAGAAAUCACGGACUAAAUUUUAAAGGAAUAUUUGAUUAUUUUGGGCAAAUGGAGAGUCGAAACUCAGCACGUUAGGGCACAAUUUCCUGAAUUUCCAAACAUCAAACAUUACCUUUGUUUUAGGAAAUUUUCAAAUAAAAAAUUGUAAAGCCAACUCAAAACGCAUUAGUUUGACUUGAAAUAAAAAUGAGACGACCAAUAUUAAUCAAAACAUUGAAAUUUGAAUCACGAUGCAAUAAUGUAGGAAAAUCAAGGUUACAAGUAUGAAACAAUAUACACAGAUGAAAUAUUAUACAAAUGAACAAAAAAGAACAAAUUAACAUACACACCAUAGCAAUGAGCUCACAUCCAAGAAACAAAUUAGAAUUAAAAUAUAACAAGUUUCGAACAUAGAUGAACAAAAAUUGAAAUAAUAAUACAAAAGACUAAUAAACGAUAUAAAACAAUAAUACGUGAAAUAAUAUGAAAACUAAAAAACAUAUAAUAUACAAAGCAAUAUGAAACUAGGAGCCAAUAUGAUACAAAACAAUUUAAAACAUAUGAGAAAUUACAUAUGAAUAACACAUGCUAGAAUUUGAAAUAAUUUACAUGUAUAUAAAAAAAACUACAACUAUAUAAAUUAUUAUUAAAAUAGAUGUUAUAAAAGAAGAAAUUUGAAUCAAAUAACGUACAAAAUAUUUUAAAAAUUGAUACAUCUAUUUAAAGUUGACAAUGUACAUACAAUAAAAAAUAAUUAAAUAUGUAAGGCUUUAAAUAAAAUAUGUACUUAAAGAAUGAAUUAUGUACAUGAUAGGUUUUUUUUAAAUAUAUAUAUAUAAAUAGAUUUAAAAGAAUUUAUAUAUAUAUAAUAACAUCGGAUUAGUAAUAUUCAUAGAAUACAACUAUCUUUUACAUAGACUAUAUAUAUUAAUAUAAGGAUAAUUUAAACUAAUAAUUAUACAAAAAAUUUAAAACGAUGUGGUAUAAAAGAGAAUUUUAAAAUAAUAAUUUUAUAAAAAACAAAGUAAAAUUAUCAAAGUAAUUCAAAAUAUAUACAAACAAUUAAAAAAUGAAUGUUAACUGAAUUUUAAAAAUAAUGAAUUAUAUAAAUUAAAAAGACUCAAUUAAAAUAAAAUUAAACUAAAAGAGAUACUUAAUAAAUAAAAUAAACCAUUGAAAUUGAAAAAAGGACUAAAGCGCAAUGCGCGCGAAUGCUCAGGGAUCAAAACUAGAAAUAUUCUAGCUCCCAAAACACAGCGUUUAAACGCGGACCAAAUUGAAUAUAUGCGUGAAUUACAGAGAUUAAUUAAAAACAGAGAAAAAAAAUAAGGCCUAAUUGAAUGACCAUGCAAAAGGGAGGGAUCAAUUGCGCAAAUGUUCCCUUUAAGCAGAACACGCGGAUCCUCCUGGGUAACCGGAUCGGGUCGGAUCGAGCAUGGCCUAUACAGUACCGUUUUAGAGCCAUUGAAAUAGGCUUAAAAUGGCACCGUUUUUGCUCCUUUAUAAAGGCUAAAAUCAAGCCAAAUUCGGUCGAACUAAACCCUAUCCCCUUUUGACUCUCCUUCAACCGAUCCCUAAUCUCAUUUUUAAACACCAGUCUACCAUUAUCAAAGUGACUUAAAGGAUUCAGACCUUGAAAGAUGCCAUUCUCGGCCAGGAAAUCCCUUCCACGCUCCAAUUUCAACGAAGCAGAUGAAAUCUCUUAGCGUAUUCAUAAGGUAAAGCUCUUGUUUUCUCUUUGUUUUUCCAAUACAUAUAAACUCUAAUGAAAGACUAAUAGAACCGAAAGAGAAAAGAAAAAUUAAAGAAUAUUUGAAUCAAAAAUCACCUUUUCAAUUUUGAUUGCUUUCUUUUCAAUAUGCGUGUGUUUUUCAAUACAUUGUUGUACUUGGCUUUUUAUAGCCAAAAUGUAAAAUCAAAUACACGUUUCUUUUUUUGCUUUCUCCUUUGCUGUAUUCUGUUGUGGUUUGUUAAUUUGUUACAGGAGGAGCCAGCUGGAGGUGGUGGCUCACGUGGAGACCGAUUCCAUGCGAGGCUGCGGCGCAAACUAGUCCUUGGGUUUCAGCUCUUGAAACCGAAGUUUGGGUCAUUUGGGUCCGUGAUUUGGGCCAUUGUAAUAGGCUGUUAAUUUUGUUAGGGAUUUGGGUUUAUUGUUGAGCUAAUAAAUGUAAAUGGAAUGGACUUUUAAAUUUGGACCUUUUAUUUGUUUUUUUAUUUUUGUUUUUAA
Molecule: long non-coding RNA, 3773 nt
Filed under: Gossypium barbadense (sea-island cotton)
Lineage: Eukaryota; Viridiplantae; Streptophyta; Magnoliopsida; Malvales; Malvaceae
Description: long non-coding RNA (GBAR_LNC001404)
Source: RNAcentral